Molecule: ribosomal RNA, 440 nt
Filed under: uncultured bacterium
Lineage: Bacteria
Description: partial 16S ribosomal RNA
Rfam family: Bacterial small subunit ribosomal RNA
Source: RNAcentral
CCUACGGGGGGCAGCAGUGGGGAAUAUUGCACAAUGGGGGAAACCCUGAUGCAGCGACGCCGCGUGAGUGAAGAAGUAAUUCGUUACGUAAAGCUCUAUCAGCAGGGAAGAAAAUGACGGUACCUGAGUAAGAAUCCCCGGCUAACUACGUGCCAGCAGCCGCGGUAAUACGUAGGGGGCAAGCGUGAUCCGGAUUUACUGGGAGUAAAGUGAGCGUAGACGGUGCGCCAAGUCUGGAGUGAAAUGCCGCCGCUUAACGGCGGAACUGCUUUGGAAACUGGCGAACUAGAGUGCGUGAGGGGUAAGCGGAAUUCCUAGUGUAGCGGUGAAAUGCGUAGAUAUUAGGAGGAACACCGGUGGCGAAGGCGACUUACUGGACCGUAACUGACGUUGAGGCUCGAAAGCGUGGGGAGCAAACAGGAUUAGAUACCCCUGUAGUC